This 1229-nucleotide ribosomal RNA is filed under the name metagenome. RNAcentral's name for it is "bacterial SSU rRNA". It matches the Rfam family "Bacterial small subunit ribosomal RNA", at positions 277 to 1520 of the family's 1533-position model. The record is from RNAcentral.
AGAUCGGUAGCUGGUCUGAGAGGAUGAUCGGCCACAUUGGGACUGAGAUACGGCCCAAACUCCUACGGGAGGCAGCAGUAGGGAAUAUUGGACAAUGGGCGCAAGCCUGAUCCAGCAAUGCCGCGUGAGUGAUGAAGGCGUUAUGCGUUGUAAAGCUCUUUUGCCGGGGACGAUAAUGACGGUACCCGGAGAAUAAGCACCGACUAACUAUGUGCCAGCAGUCGCGGUAAUACAUAGGGUGCUAGCGUUGCCCGGAAUUAUUGGGCGUAAAGCACAUGUAGGAGGAUUUAAAAGUCAGAAGUGUAAACCCUAGGCUCAACUUAGGGCUUGCUUUUGAUACUUUAAAUCUAGAGGGAGAUAGAAGGUAGCGGAAUUUCUAGUGUAGGGGUAAAAUCCGUAGAUAUUAGAAGGAACACCGAAAGCGAAGGCAGCUAUCUGGGUCUUUCCUGACUCUGAGAUGUGAAAGCGUGGGGAGCAAACAGGAUUAGAUACCCUGGUAGUCCACGCUGUAAACGAUGAAUGUUAAGUAUUCGGAUUUUUAUCUGGGUGCUACAGCUAACGCGUGAAACAUUCCGCCUGGGAAUUACGGUCGCAAGACUAAAACUUAAACCGGAAUUGACGGGGGCCCGCACAAGCGGUGGAGCAUGUGGUUUAAUUCGAUAUUAACCGAAGAACCUUACCAGUUCUUGACAUGUAACUUAUAAGUCUGACCAGAGAUGGCAGAUGUGGGCAACCAAAGUUAUGCAGGUAAUGCAUGGCUGUCGUCAGCUCGUGCCGUGAGGUGUUAGGUUAAGUCCUGUAACGAGCGCAACCCCUUUCUUUAUUUGCCAGCGAGUAAUGUCGGGAACUAUAAAGAUACUGCCUGUGAUAAACAGGAGGAAGGUGGGGAUGAUGUCAAGUCAUCACGUCCCUUAUGAACUGGGCUACACACGUGCUACAAUGGCGCUAACAACGAGUCGCAACACCGUGAGGUGAAGCUAAUCUUUUAAAAAGUGUCUUAGUUCGGAUUGAAGUCUGCAACUCGACUUCAUGAAGCCGGAAUCGCUAGUAAUCGUGGAUCAGAAUGUCGCGGUGAAUACGUUCCCGGGCCUUGUACACACUGCCCGUCAAGCCAUGGGAGUUGAAUUUAUCUUAGUGCAUUGAGCUAACCGUAAGGAGGCAAAUGCUAACGGUAAAUUUAAUGACUGGGGUUAAGUCGAACAAGGUAGCCGUAGGGGAAUCUGUGGCUG